AACCAGGAGAUCAUGACCUGAGCCGAAAUCAAGUGUCAGAUGCUUAACCGACUGAGCCACCCACGUGCCCUCCUGUCCUUUCUUAAUUGUGAUUGUCCCUGCAUACUCCUUCACCUGCCCACCCACUUCGCCACCAGUGCACACCCCCCCCCCCGAUCAUCCCACACAUGCACAAAAGUAUUGUGUAUGUGCAAGCCCUGUACAAAGUAAUUGACUUUGUGAAUAGUUGUUUUCAUUCUGGUUUAUAAAGACACAGGAGUACAUGCUUUUAAGAGCUUCUUUUUCCUUUUAACUCGCAGUGCACAUGACAAAAUGUGAGGCAUCUGACAGGCAGCCAGCCACCUGCGAGGAUCAGUUUUAAACAGAUGGUGCAGUAGAAAAUGAGUCCAAAUGUAGACAUCACAAAGUGAUCCUGGCAAACACUCACAGAUGUGGAUUAUGACAAUUCUGAUGACCCUGACCCAUGGGUUAGUUGGUUCGGGUCAGAGUGAAAUGGUUUGCCUUGUGACAGCGACAAAAACAUUAGCAACUUUGUCUUUUGGGAAUGAAAGGUGGCUCUGAAGACUAGAAAGGAGACUUUGCCACAAGCUCCACGUGCCUCCUCCUUUCUGGCACUUGCAUUGUCUCUUCUUGGCAACAACCUACUCCUCACUGGCCUUUGGAACAGAUGAAUGAGGCUCUUCCGGUCCUGACAUCUGUCCACCUUUGCCGGUCCUACCUCUCCCCACCUGGUCCAAAACAGGCCAUGCUCCACUAAAUUGAAGCUCUCUCCAAAUGAGCUGCACCGUUCUUGCCUUCUCCGGGCCUUGACAGGUGCAGUCUGUACUCUAGGAUGUCUUUUGUGCCAUGCUCAGCCGGCAAAUUCCCAGCCUAGGCUUUGAGUCUGCUGGGGUGUGGCUGCAUACUGGUGUCCUCAUGAGAAGAGGGAGAUCUGGACACAGAGAGAGACACACAGGGAGAACUCUAUAAGGAGAUGGCAGAAAUUGGAGUUGUGCAGCUAUAAGCCGAGGAUGACAGGUGACAUCAGAACCUGGGGCAGACACGGAACAGGUUCUCCACUAGAACCUUUCAGUGAGAAUGGCCCAGACAAUACCUUAAUUUUGGACUUCCAGUGCCCAGAAUAUGCAUCACAGGGGGCACACUGUGGGAGACUGAAGGCUGCACACCGUGUGCGGACAAUGUCCCACUUUUGGAACUGCUGUCUGCUGAAUGUAGAAGAACCAGCCCAUGACAACAAGUAGGAGUGUCGUGUGUUGUGGGAGGAAAUCCCACAAAGUGGGGGAGAAAUGUGCUCCUUAGAUGUUAUCUGAUGGGCCAAGUCAGUCCUGAGGGCUCUGCCCUGAUCCCGUGAGACGCUACAGUAGGCUCCCCAUGAGCCUUAUACUUCCCAUUCUGCGAAUAAAAACUGGUUUGCACAGAC
Long non-coding RNA from Felis catus (domestic cat), 1420 nucleotides. RefSeq lists it as uncharacterized. Lineage: Eukaryota; Metazoa; Chordata; Mammalia; Carnivora; Felidae. The transcript is spliced from 3 exons. The record is from RefSeq and is a predicted model, not a curated record.